RNAcentral lists this unclassified non-coding RNA (243 nucleotides) under fungal sp. RNAcentral describes it as "partial contains small subunit ribosomal RNA, internal transcribed spacer 1, and 5.8S ribosomal RNA". The stretch from base 1 to 46 matches the Rfam family "Eukaryotic small subunit ribosomal RNA", at positions 1786 to 1831 of the family's 1831-position model. The record is from RNAcentral. Lineage: Eukaryota; Fungi.
AAGUCGUAACAAGGUCUCCGUAGGUGAACCUGCGGAGGGAUCAUUACAGAGUUUUUGCCCGCAAGGGUAGAUCUCCCACCCUAUGUUAUUCCUUCUCUGUUGCUUUGGCGGGCCGUCCGGCCUCGGUCAGGCCACCGGCUCCGGCUGGUGAGCGCCCGCCAGAGGACCCCAAACCCUAAAUAUCAGUGUCGUCUGAGUACUAUAUAAUAGUUAAAACUUUCAACAACGGAUCUCUUGGUUCUG